RNAcentral lists this ribosomal RNA (484 nucleotides) under uncultured bacterium. Its description in RNAcentral is "partial 16S ribosomal RNA". It matches the Rfam family "Bacterial small subunit ribosomal RNA", at positions 30 to 507 of the family's 1533-position model. The record is from RNAcentral.
AUUGAACGCUGGCGGCAGGCCUAACACAUGCAAGUCGAGCGGAUGAAGGGAGCUUGCUCCUGGUUUCAGCGGCGGACGGGUGAGUAAUGCCUAGGAAUCUGCCUGGUAUUGGGGGAUAACGUCCGGAAACGGGCGCUAAUACCGCAUACGUCCUGAGGGAGCAAGUGGGGGAUCUUCGGACCUCACGCUAUCAGAUGAGCCUAGGUCGGAUUAGCUAGUUGGUGGGGUAAAGGCCUACCAAGCCGACGAUCCGUAACUGGUCUGAGAGGAUGAUCAGUCACACUGGAACUGAGACACGGUCCAGACUCCUACGGGAGGCAGCAGUGGGGAAUAUUGGACAAUGGGCGAAAGCCUGAUCCAGCCAUGCCGCGUGUGUGAAGAAGGUCUUCGGAUUGUGAAGCACUUUAAGUUGGGAGGAAGGGCAGUAAGUUAAUACCUUGCUGUUUUGACGUUACCAACAGAAUAAGCACCGGCUAACUUCGUG